This 65-nucleotide transfer RNA is filed under the name Dipodomys ordii (Ord's kangaroo rat). It matches the Rfam family "tRNA". From Rfam's summary of the family: Transfer RNA (tRNA) molecules are approximately 80 nucleotides in length. Their secondary structure includes four short double-helical elements and three loops (D, anti-codon, and T loops). Further hydrogen bonds mediate the characteristic L-shaped molecular structure. tRNAs have two regions of fundamental functional importance: the anti-codon, which is responsible for specific mRNA codon recognition, and the 3' end, to which the tRNAs corresponding amino acid is attached (by aminoacyl-tRNA synthetases). tRNAs cope with the degeneracy of the genetic code in two manners: having more than one tRNA (with a specific anti-codon) for a particular amino acid; and 'wobble' base-pairing, i.e. permitting non-standard base-pairing at the 3rd anti-codon position. Lineage: Eukaryota; Metazoa; Chordata; Mammalia; Rodentia; Heteromyidae. The record is from Rfam by way of RNAcentral.
GGUGGCUCAGUGGUAGAGCUCUUGCCUUACAUGCACGAGGCACUGGGUUCGAUUCCUUAGCACCA